This 479-nucleotide ribosomal RNA is filed under the name uncultured bacterium. RNAcentral's name for it is "partial 16S ribosomal RNA". It matches the Rfam family "Bacterial small subunit ribosomal RNA", at positions 28 to 507 of the family's 1533-position model. The record is from RNAcentral.
GAUGAACGCUAGCGGGAGGCCUAACACAUGCAAGCCGAGCGGUAUUUGUUCUUCGGAACAGAGAGAGCGGCGCACGGGUGCGGAACACGUGUGCAACCUGCCUUUAUCUGGGGGAUAGCCUUUCGAAAGGAAGAUUAAUACCCCAUAAUAUAUUGAGUGGCAUCAUUUGAUAUUGAAAACUCCGGCGGAUAGAGAUGGGCACGCGCAAGAUUAGAUAGUUGGUGAGGUAACGGCUCACCAAGUCAAUGAUCUUUAGGGGGCCUGAGAGGGUGAUCCCCCACACUGGUACUGAGACACGGACCAGACUCCUACGGGAGGCAGCAGUGAGGAAGAUUGGACAAUGGGUUAGCGCCUGAUCCAGCCAUCCCGCGUGAAGGACGACGGCCCUAUGGGUUGUAAACUUCUUUUGUAUAGGGAUAAACCUACUCUCGUGAGAGUAGCUGAAGGUACUAUACGAAUAAGCACCGGCUAACUCCGUG